RNAcentral lists this long non-coding RNA (912 nucleotides) under Nicotiana benthamiana. Its description in RNAcentral is "long non-coding RNA (NBEN_LNC038982)". Lineage: Eukaryota; Viridiplantae; Streptophyta; Magnoliopsida; Solanales; Solanaceae. The record is from RNAcentral.
GAAUUUCCUCAAAAUAGGUGGGAAAAGAUAUAGAAGAAAGGCAUGUUUCUUACGAAGCAGUAAAAAAGUCAAAUCGCUUGAGAAUAUGGAAGCAUUUCCAUGGUGCAUAAUUGCUCUAUACAUAACAUAAAUAUGUUCUGCAAGUGUGUGAAGUUUUUUACUAGACAUAUCAAUGGAAAAACAACAAUCACAGACAGGAAAAGGUAAUCCAAGGAAUUUUCCCCUAUAGAUUUCAAACAGACAAUCUUCUCACGAUGUGUUAAAUACUAUGUAAAGUGCAAAUAUUAACACUGUAAACAUCUUGAUUGCAAAAGGCAAGAACCUCACCUGCCCUUGGAACCUUCACAAAAUAUAAAGAAGGAACCAUCCUUGCUAAGUGAAAGACCAUUUGGAAAUUGAAGGUUGUGGAUAAGAAGAGUGGUUUCUUUUGUCCUAGGAUUGUAUUUGAGAACCCUCUGAAGGUUGUGGAUAAGAACAGUGGUUUCUUUUGUCCUAGGAUUGUAUUUGAGAACCCUCCCACUAUCUUCUGCUGAGAAAACCAGCUGCAUAAAGUUCCUGGAAAAGAAAAGGUGGGAGUUGUAAAAUUUUGACCAAAUGAAGCACAGAUUCUGCAUUUUUGGCCAAGAUCAAAUAUAAUCAUCGUAUAUGGGUGAAACAGACAUGCUUUGGAGCCAUGGAAAGAGCAAGAGGAUUGUCAGUGAUGUGGAAUAGCUGGGCUCUACCUUCUCUGGUGGAUAUGCUGCAAUACGCUAACACAAUCAGUGUCAUGUAGAUCAUAGUGAUCUAAUAUUUUGCGUCGACAUUUUCUAGGAAACUUUUAAGACUCAAUUCACUCAUGUAGACGUGUAGAGAGGAGCGAAAAAAGUGGCUGGGACCACAGGUAAUUGUCGGAAGUUUUAAUUUGAUUUUGUC